GUGCUCACUUCAGCAGCACAUAUACUAACAUUGGAACAACACAGAGAGAGAAGAUUAGCAUGGCCCCUGCACAAGGAUGACAUGCAAAUUCAUGAAGUGUUCCAUAUUUUU
Small nuclear RNA from Jaculus jaculus (lesser Egyptian jerboa), 111 nucleotides. NCBI's taxonomy places the organism in Eukaryota, Metazoa, Chordata, Mammalia, Rodentia, Dipodidae. The record is from RefSeq and is a predicted model, not a curated record.